UACAGAGGGUGCGAGCGUUGUCCGGAAUCAUUGGGCGUAAAGGGCGCGUAGGUGGCCCCUCAAGCGUGCGGUGAAAGUCAGGGGCUCAACCCCUGAUCGGCCGUGCGAACUGGGGAGCUUGAGCACUGUAGAGGCAGGCGGAAUUCCGGGUGUAGCGGUGGAAUGCGUAGAGAUCCGGAAGAACACCGGUGGCGAAGGCGGCCUGCUGGGCAGUUUUGCUGACACUGAGGCGCGACAGCGUGGGGAGCAAACAGG
Molecule: ribosomal RNA, 255 nt
Filed under: uncultured bacterium
Lineage: Bacteria
Description: partial 16S ribosomal RNA
Rfam family: Bacterial small subunit ribosomal RNA
Source: RNAcentral